Molecule: non-coding RNA, 29 nt
Filed under: Homo sapiens (human)
Lineage: Eukaryota; Metazoa; Chordata; Mammalia; Primates; Hominidae
Source: RNAcentral
AGGAAUAGAAGUGUCUUCCUAAAGGUGUA